RNAcentral lists this ribosomal RNA (643 nucleotides) under uncultured fungus. RNAcentral describes it as "eukaryotic LSU rRNA". It matches the Rfam family "Eukaryotic large subunit ribosomal RNA", at positions 38 to 667 of the family's 3401-position model. Lineage: Eukaryota; Fungi. The record is from RNAcentral.
GCAUAUCAAUAAGCGGAGGAAAAGAAACUAACAAGGAUUCCCUUAGUAACGGCGAGUGAACCGGGAAGAGCUCAAAUUUGUAAUCUGGCGUCCUUCGGGCGUCCGAGUUGUAAUCUAUAGAGGUGUUUUCCGCGCCGGACCACGUUUAAGUCUCCUGGAACAGGGCGUCAUAGAGGGUGAGAAUCCCGUCCUUGACAUGAACUACCAGUGCUCUGUGAUACAUUUUCAACGAGUCGAGUUGUUUGGGAAUGCAGCUCAAAAUGGGUGGUAAAUUCCAUCUAAAGCUAAAUAUUGGCGAGAGACCGAUAGCGAACAAGUACCGUGAGGGAAAGAUGAAAAGCACUUUGGAAAGAGAGUUAAACAGUAUGUGAAAUUGUUGAAAGGGAAACGAUUGAAGUCAGUCGUGCUCUUUGGAUUCAGCCGGUUCUGCCGGUGUACUUCCUUUGAGUGGGGUCAACAUCAGUUUUGAUCGCUGGAUAAAGGCUGGAGGAACGUAGUACCCUCGGGUAAACUUAUAGCCUCCUGUCACAUACAGUGGUUGGGACUGAGGAACGCAGCACGCCUUUAUGGCCGGGAUUCGUCCACGUACGUGCUUAGGAUGUUGACAUAAUGGCUUUAAACGACCCGUCUUGAAACACGGACC